This is a long non-coding RNA of Cyprinus carpio carpio, 301 nucleotides long. NCBI's taxonomy places the organism in Eukaryota, Metazoa, Chordata, Actinopteri, Cypriniformes, Cyprinidae. The record is from Ensembl.
GGGAGGGGGGGUAGACUGGGGGAGGAAAGGAAGGCAGAGCCGAAAAGAAAAGUUUCAUGAUAUUACUCGCACUCGACGUGGAAAUGAGCCUGGCGAGACCAGUGCUUUAUUGGGUGUCUGGACCGUCUUUUGUUCCUCAAAUGUGAUAUUUUCAGCAGUUGAUCUGAACAGAGCAGGACCGGAAUCGAGGGGCAGAGAGGAGAGAAAGCGAUCGGAUUCAGCCGUGGCAUAUCUGAAGCAGUAUUCACCACUGAAGGCAGCAGUUUCAUCCCAGCCUGCCCUCUGUCUCCUGUCAUGAGGC